Non-coding RNA from Paramuricea clavata, 994 nucleotides. Lineage: Eukaryota; Metazoa; Cnidaria; Anthozoa; Malacalcyonacea; Plexauridae. The record is from the annotation of a GenBank genome assembly.
CCUAUCGCUGCCAUAAGAAUUUUUUUCGGAAAAGUAAAUUGAAUUUAAAAACACCACUGGCCUAUCGCUGCCAUAAGAAUUUUUUUCGGAAAAGUAAUAUUUGAAUUUAAAAACACCACUGGCCUGUCGCUGCCAUAGACCAAUAUGCAUUGCGGUCGGAAAAGAGGAUAUUUUGCUUCAGAAGAGUGGAAGCACUAUAAACUCACAUGUUUUCAAAAUGGCAGAAUUCUCGAGACGAGACGAAAUGAAGCAAAAAAGAGCAAGAAAAAUGAUUGAAAGAGGGAAAAAUUGAAGAAAUAGUUGUACAAUGCCAAAGCUCAGAUGUCUCGGGCAAGGCACAAAAGUACAGCAGAGUUGAGCCGCGAGAAUUCGUGCAGUUUGGUGAAAAGGAUAUGAGCAUGGAGAACAAAAUAUAUAACAGGAAAGGCUGCUUUGUCUGAAGCAUUUUGCUUCCAAAAUUGGUCCAAACACGAUUUGUGAUAGUGUCACUGGAGAGCAGGGAGCCGUCAUAUUGUCGCUAUUUAUAGGGGCCAAUACAGGGGUCGUCAUAUAGGGGCCUAUAUAUGGGAGCCGUAUAUAUAUUGGCCAUAUUUAAUAGGGGCCAAUAUAGUGGCUGUCAUAUUGUAUUAUUGUCGCUAUUAGGAGCCAAAGUACGAAAGUAGGUAGGGGCCACCUUAUAGGGGGCCUUAUAGAUAAAUAUAUUAAAUUACCAAUUUACAAUUACCUAUCUUCAAUAUACAAUAUAACUGAAAUACCUUCCUAGCCACCACCUGAUUAGUGGUUGCUGUUUAUAUACAUUUAAUAACUGAAAUAUCGUCCUUGCCUCCACCUGGUUACUGUUGAAUUGACAGAACUUUAAUAACCGAAUUACCGUCCUUACCAUCACCUGGUUGUUGACCCAACAAAUCAAGUUUACAGCUUUUAUAUAGUCGUUUGAAGGUACUUGACAAAUAAAAAUAAUAUAACAGUCUAUUCCAAUACUGAAGAACACACC